AACGAACGCUGGCGGCAUGCCUAACACAUGCAAGUCGAACGAGACCUUCGGGUCUAGUGGCGCACGGGUGCGUAACGCGUGGGAACCUGCCCUUAGGUUCGGAAUCACUCCCCGAAAGGGGUGCUAAUACCGGUUAAUGUCUUCGGACCAAAGAUUUAUCGCCUUUGGAUGGGCCCGCGUUGGAUUAGCUAGUUGGUAGGGUAAAAGCCUACCAUGGCGACGAUCCAUAGCUGGUCUGAGAGGAUGAUUAGCCACACUGGGACUGAGACACGGCCCAGACUCCUACGGGAGGGAGCAGUGGGGAAUAUUGGGCAAGGGGCGAAAGCCUGAUCCAGCAGUGCCGCGUGAGAGAUGAAGGCCUUAGGGUUGUAAAGCUCUUUGACCCGAGAUGAUAAUGACAGUACCGGGAGAAUAAGCUCCGGCUAACUCCGUG
Molecule: ribosomal RNA, 433 nt
Filed under: uncultured bacterium
Lineage: Bacteria
Description: partial 16S ribosomal RNA
Rfam family: Bacterial small subunit ribosomal RNA
Source: RNAcentral